GUGCAGAGCGGCGGCGGACUCGCCGAGUACGCGGUGGCGCCAGCGUCGCUCACGGUGGCGAGGCCGCCGGAGGUGUCUGCAUUCGAAGGCGCCUGCCUGCCGGCGGCCGGCGGCUCUGCGCUGCAGCUGCUCAAGCUCGCCCGGGUCAGCUUCGACGGGACCUCCGGCGCCACCAGCCCGAAGAACGCGCUGGUGACCGCUGCGUCCGGCGGCGUGGGCCACUACGCCAUGCAGCUCGCGAAGCUCGUGGGCCUGCGCGUCACGGCCACCUGCGGCGCGCGCAACGUGGACUUCGUCCGGGGCCUGGGCGCCGACGAGGUGCUCGACUACAAGACGCCCGAGGGCGCGGCCCUGCGGAGCCCGUCGGGCAGGAGGUACGACGCGGUGGCGAACUGCGCGGCGGGGGUGCCGUGGCCGGCGCUGAAGGCGGUGCUGGCCGACGAGGGCGGCACGGUGGCGGACGUCACGCCGGGGGUCGGCGCCGCGCUCACGUCGAUCCCACAGAAGGCGACCUUCGCCAAGAAGAGGCUAGCGCCGCUGAUGUUGGCGCCGAGGAGGGAGGAGCUGGAGUGGCUGGUGGGCUUGGCGAGGCAGGGGAAGCUCAGGACUAUGGUGGACUCGAGGUUCCCGCUGAGCAGAGCGCAGGAGGCGUGGGCUAAGAGCAUGGAGGGGCAUGCCACUGGCAAGAUCGAUGUGGAAAUGGGAGGCGCAGAAUGA
This 717-nucleotide ribosomal RNA is filed under the name Triticum aestivum (bread wheat). Its description in RNAcentral is "partial small subunit ribosomal RNA". Lineage: Eukaryota; Viridiplantae; Streptophyta; Magnoliopsida; Poales; Poaceae. The record is from RNAcentral.